AAUGAUGCACUUUUCAAGGAAAGAACAAAAAAUGUGCAUCAAUAUUUGGCUAGAUGGGUGUAUGAAGCCGGGAUCCCUUUUCAUGCUAUUGAUAAUGAUAGCUUCAAGAGGUUUGUGGAAGCGGUUGGUCAAUUUGGCCCGGGUUACAAACCUCCAAGCCAAUACCAAUUAAGGGAGCCAUUAUUGAAGGAUGAAGUAGAGAGAACUAAAGGUUUAUUGAAGAAGCAAGAAGAAGAGUAGGUUUUGAAUGGUUGCUCUAUCAUGACCGAUGCUUGGAGCGAUCGAAAAAUAAGAAGUAUCAUGAAUUUGUGUGUCAAUUGUGCGGAAGGCACAACUUUUCUUUCUUCUAAGGAGGCAUCGGAUGAGUCACACACCGGGGCAUAUAUUUUUGAAUAUGUGGACAAGUGUAUUGAAGAAAUUGGGCCACAAAAUGUGGUUCAAGUUGUGACGGACAAUGCUUCAAAUAACAUGGCGGCAAAAGAUUUAUUGAAGUUGAAAAGGCCAAACAUAUUUUGGAUUUCUUGUGCAACUCACACCAUCAAUCUUAUGCUUCAAGGAAUUGACACUCAACCUAGAUUCAAAGGAGUAAUUGAGAAGGCAAAGACUUUCACCAUCUACAUUUAUGCAUAUCACAAGACUUUGGCAAUGAUGAGAAAGUUCACAAAGAAAAGAGACAUAGUGAGGCAGGGAGUCACAAGAUUUGCAACCGCUUUUCUCACUUUGCAAAGCUUGAUGGAGAAGAAGAAUGACUUGAGAGGUAUGAUUACUAGUGAUGAAUGGAAUGAAAGCAAACAUGGAAAGAGUGUAAAAGGGAAGCGGCGGGGAAUAUUGCUUUGAGUGCUGCUUUUUGGAAUAGAGCUAGUCUUUGCUUGAAAGUGUUUGCCCCUUUAGUCAAGGUGCUUCGCCUUGUUGAUGGGGAUAGAAAGCCAUCAAUGGGCUUUGUGUAUGGAGAAAUACUUAGAGCAAAGGAGGAGGUUAAAAAGGCAUUCAAAGAUCAAGAAACUCACUAUCGUCCAAUCAUAGACAUUAUUGAUGGGAAAUACCGGGAUCGACUUGAUUCUCCUUUGCAUUUAGCAGGCUACAUCUUGAAUCCUUACUACACAUAUGCCGAUCCAAGCAUUGGAAAUGAUGAUAUUGUCAUGGAAGGGUUUCUUACUUGUGUUUAGACAUUCUUUAAUUUCCCGAUGACAUUGAAACUCAAAGUAAGGUGACAAAUGUAGAAUUGCACAAGUAUUUGAAGAAAGAGGGUGUAUUUGGUAGAGCUUUGGCUAAGGCGGGAUGCGCACAAGAUAAUGAAAAUUAUAAUCCGGUUGGUUGGUGGAGUAUUUAUGGAAACCAAGUACCGCUUUUGCAAAGAAUGGCUAAAAGACUACUUGGUUUGACCACAAGUUCAUCCAGAUGUGAAAGAAAUUGGAGUACUUUUGAGGGGAUACAUACAAAGAAAAGGAAUAGACUAGAUACAACAAGGUUGAACAAUCUAGUGUAUGUCCAAUUCAAUGCAAGGAUUAUGAACAAGAAAAGAAGAGAGAAAGAGAAGAAUGUGGAUGUACUACUUGCUAGUGAAGCAACUGUGGCACAAGGAUGGAUUGUUGAUGGUGGUGAUGAAGAUGUUGAGUCGGAUCUUAAUAGUGAAAUGGUUGGAGAUGAUUUGGGAGUGGGUAGUGGUUUAGAGCCUCGGAGAAGUUCUACACUUCAAGAAAAGAGAACUUCAUGAGGAUGAUUUUGUAUCGGAUGAAGAGGAAGAAGAUGAAAUAGACUUUGAGUUUGAGACCGACACAGAAGAAGUGCAAGAGGGAUAUGGAGAAGAAGAAUUUGAGGCAUAGGCUAGCAAGAAUCUAAUUUGUUUCUUUCAAAUUGUUUUUUUUAUAAUUUCUAAGAACAUUGUUGUUGAACAUUUUGUCUAUUUUUGAAGUAUUUUUGCUAUUUUAGAACAU
Fragaria vesca subsp. vesca is the source of this 1934-nucleotide RNA transcript. RefSeq lists it as uncharacterized. Lineage: Eukaryota; Viridiplantae; Streptophyta; Magnoliopsida; Rosales; Rosaceae. The record is from RefSeq and is a predicted model, not a curated record. The annotation marks the transcript as partial. The transcript is spliced from 3 exons.